UUGGUGGGGUAAUGGCCCACCAAGGCGACGACGGGUAGCCGGCCUGAGAGGGCGACCGGCCACACUGGGACUGAGACACGGCUCAGACUCCUACGGGAGGCAGCAGUGGGGAAUAUUGCGCAAUGGGCGGAAGCCUGACGCAGCGACGCCGCGUGAGGGAUGAAGGCCUUCGGGUCGUAAACCUCUUUCAGCAGGGAAGAAGCGAAAGUGACGGUACCUGCAGAAGAAGCACCGGCUAACCACGUGCCAGCAGCCGCGGUAAUACGUAGGGUGCAAGCGUUGUCCGGAAUUAUUGGGCGUAAAGAGCUCGUAGGCGGUCUGUCGCGUCUGCUGUGAAAACUCAGGGCUUAACCCUGAGCUUGCAGUGGGUACGGGCAGACUAGAGUGCGGUAGGGGAGACUGGAAUUCCUGGUGUAGCGGUGAAAUGCGCAGAUAUCAGGAGGAACACCGGUGGCGAAGGCGGGUCUCUGGGCCGUAACUGACGCUGAGGAGCGAAAGCAUGGGGAGCGAACAGGAUUAGAUACCCUGGUAGUCCAUGCCGUAAACGUUGGGCGCUAGGUGUGGGGACCUUUCCAUGGUUUCCGUGCCGCAGCUAACGCAUUAAGCGCCCCGCCUGGGGAGUACGGCGCGGCCUAUCAGCUUGUUGGUGGGGUAAUGGCCUACCAAGGCGACGACGGGUAGCCGGCCUGAGAGGGCGACCGGCCACACUGGGGCUGA
RNAcentral lists this ribosomal RNA (717 nucleotides) under uncultured bacterium. Its description in RNAcentral is "bacterial SSU rRNA". The stretch from base 1 to 614 matches the Rfam family "Bacterial small subunit ribosomal RNA", at positions 249 to 873 of the family's 1533-position model. The record is from RNAcentral.